This 207-nucleotide non-coding RNA is filed under the name Clostridia bacterium. RNAcentral's name for it is "6S RNA". It matches the Rfam family "6S / SsrS RNA". Rfam says of the family: E. coli 6S RNA was the first non coding RNA to be sequenced, but its function was unknown until recently. It consists of 184 nucleotides that fold into an extended hairpin structure with a large single-stranded internal bulge. The record is from RNAcentral. Lineage: Bacteria; Bacillati; Bacillota; Clostridia.
AAAGCCCUACUGUGUCCGUGAUAACUUGGUGGUUUGAGCCAACACCACUACAUAGGGAGCCCGGGCUCCGUUCGUGGCGUGUAUGCCUCGGUCGCAAACCUUACCCGAGGUCUUGCGGUACAGUGGACACACAAAGCGCGCGGGAGGGCACCCACCUGCGAGAGCGGGUUCUAAACCCAUCGGUUUUCACGGCAUGGUGGGGUUGUU